AUCCAGAUGGUACAGUGGUUAGGAUUUGGCACUUUCACUGCCAUGGCCUGGGUUCAAUUCCCAGUCAGGGAA
This is a non-coding RNA of Gopherus evgoodei (Goodes thornscrub tortoise), 72 nucleotides long. Lineage: Eukaryota; Metazoa; Chordata; Testudines; Testudinidae. The record is from the annotation of a RefSeq genome assembly.